Molecule: ribosomal RNA, 424 nt
Filed under: uncultured Lactobacillus sp.
Lineage: Bacteria; Bacillati; Bacillota; Bacilli; Lactobacillales; Lactobacillaceae
Description: bacterial SSU rRNA
Rfam family: Bacterial small subunit ribosomal RNA
Source: RNAcentral
GGAAUCUUCCACAAUGGACGAAAGUCUGAUGGAGCAACGCCGCGUGAGUGAAGAAGGUUUUCGGAUCGUAAAACUCUGUUGUUGAAGAAGAACAUGCGUGAGAGUAACUGUUCAUGUAUUGACGGUAUUCAACCAGAAAGCCACGGCUAACUACGUGCCAGCAGCCGCGGUAAUACGUAGGUGGCAAGCGUUGUCCGGAUUUAUUGGGCGUAAAGCGAGCGUAGGCGGUUUAUUAAGUCUGAUGUGAAAGCCCUCGGCUCAACCGAGGAAGUGCAUCGGAAACUGGUAAACUUGAGUGCAGAAGAGGAGAGUGGAACUCCAUGUGUAGCGGUGGAAUGCGUAGAUAUAUGGAAGAACACCAGUGGCGAAGGCGGCUCUCUGGUCUGUAACUGACGCUGAGGUUCGAAAGCGUGGGUAGCAAACA